UUGAAAAUAAUUACUCACCAACGUAAAAACAAAAUGUGUACUAUUUUGUUUCUUAGAUAAUAAAAAUAGAUACCAAAAUAAGAUGAGUAAUGUUAAAAGCAUCAUAUGCAAAAAGCUAUGCAAGACACCAACUUACGAGGACGUUUAAGAGUCUCAAAAUUCUUUAAUGCCUACACUACAAACCAUGUAAUGUUGAAAAUACUCAAAUAAAAAGGUUUCAUAUGAAGUUAAAAAGUAAAAACUUAAAAUU
Molecule: small RNA, 250 nt
Filed under: Arabidopsis thaliana (thale cress)
Lineage: Eukaryota; Viridiplantae; Streptophyta; Magnoliopsida; Brassicales; Brassicaceae
Description: ATSL261460
Source: RNAcentral